Molecule: long non-coding RNA, 1313 nt
Filed under: Felis catus (domestic cat)
Lineage: Eukaryota; Metazoa; Chordata; Mammalia; Carnivora; Felidae
Description: lncRNA (ENSFCAG00000040624.2)
Source: RNAcentral
CCCCGCCAGCCCCCCGGGCAGAUAGCACCAGCCUUCCCGCGCCUCUUUCAGGGAAGAACCGAGGACACCGGGGUUACCUUUGCCAAUUCCGGGCGGGCGGUUUGGGCAAGUCCCUUAGACUCCCGGCCUUGGUUUCCCCACCUAGGAAAUGGACGGGAGGAGGAGCAGGCUUUUUUCGGGCCCUUCCCUCCCAGGCGUGCUCUGGGCCUUCAGUCUCUGCGGAGGAAGGGACUUGGGGGAAAUCUCCUUUUUCAGGGGCCGGUGGCCUGGGUGUCAGGGAGAGACAACCCCAUGCGUCCUGCAGACUUCCUCAGUCCCCCUCCGAAGGCACCUGCCUGGGAGAGAGGGAGUGAGGGACUGUGCUUCCCAGAGCCUCUCCUCCCAGUAGCUCCUGAAGAUCUGGGCCCUGGAAAAGCAAAUAUAUACACCCACCCACCACCACCCACCCCAAACAUCCCCGAAGAAAAGGUAACCACAGAAACAGCCAUGAAUGCGGAGCUGGGCGUUAGUGUUAGGCUGAGACAGUCUGUCUCUCUCGCGUCUCUAGGGGAAAACGCAAACCCUCCUGCAAAUACUCCUUCACAAAAGUGAGAGGAGGAGUGGGGCUGCUCCCUUCAGCUAGAUGAGGCACCUGGGGCUGCCCACCCCCCUACCCCCCAGCUCCAGAAGCUCAAACCAGGAGAAAUAGAGAACUUAUCGGCAGCACCAGCGGCAAGAAUGACUAGAAUCGCUGGAUCCUGCCUCGGGCCAGUAUGGAUCUGAGGUGGGGACGUUGGAUGAUUGGCCAUCUUGCUUACCCCUGGCAUCCACGAGUGUUCGUGAUGGCCCCUGAGGCAGAGGCUAUGACCCGCGGUUACCCAGGGAAUGCGACUCAGAGGCACAUUCCCAUGGAUCCCCCUUUCCCCUUCGCCCUUGCAAGCUCCAGAGGGUUCCGAUGAACAAGAGGGUCCCUCUCCUCGAGCGACUACCCCGCCAUGGACUGAAUCGUGUCCCUCCAAAAUUCAUACAUUGAAGCCCCAACACCCCCCAUGUGCCUGGAUUUGGAGAUCGGACUUUAUAGGAAGUAAUCAAGGUUAACGAGGUCAUGGGGCACCUGGGUGGCUCAGUGGGUUAAGCCUCCGACUUCGACUCAGGUCCUGAUCGCGCGGUUCGUGGGUUCGGGCUCCGCGUCGGGCUCUGUGCUGACAGCUCGGAGCCUGGAGCCUGCUUCGGAUUCUGUGUCUCCCUCUCUGCCCCUUCCCUGCUUGCGCUCUAUGUCUCUCUCCCUCUCUCUCAAAAAUAAAUAUUAAAAAAAAAAAAGUUAAAAAAAUAAA